AGAGCGAACGCUGGCGGCAGGCCUAAUACAUGCAAGUCGAACGCACCUUCGGGUGAGUGGCGGACGGGUGAGUAACACGUGGGAACGUGCCUUUGGUUCGGAAUAAUCCGGGGAAACCUGGCCUAAUACCGGAUGUGCCCUUCGGGGGAAAGAUUUAUCGCCAUUAGAGCGGCCCGCGUCUGAUUAGCUAGUUGGUGAGGUAAAGGCUCACCAAGGCUACGAUCAGUAGCUGGUCUGAGAGGAUGAUCAGCCACACUGGGACUGAGACACGGCCCAGACUCCUACGGGAGGCAGCAGUAGGGAAUCUUGCGCAAUGGGCGAAAGCCUGACGCAGCCAUGCCGCGUGAAUGAUGAAGGUCUUAGGAUUGUAAAAUUCUUUCAGCGGGAAGAUAAUGACUGUACCCGCAGAAGAAGCUCCGGCUAACUUCGCGCCAGCAGCCGC
RNAcentral lists this ribosomal RNA (442 nucleotides) under uncultured bacterium. RNAcentral describes it as "SSU rRNA". It matches the Rfam family "Bacterial small subunit ribosomal RNA", at positions 26 to 518 of the family's 1533-position model. The record is from RNAcentral.